AGUUUGAUCCUGGCUCAGGACGAACGCUGGCGGCGCGCCUAACACAUGCAAGUCGAACGGAGUCAAGAGGAGCUUGCUUUUCUUGAAUUGAGGGGAAGGGGUAAUAACCGGGGAUCACCCCCCGGGAGUGGGGCCAACAGUGGAAACCCCGCUUUACCCCCAAUAACCCCCGGCCCGCAUCGGGCCCGGAAAAGGAUUUUUCUCUUCAGGAGGGCCUCGGUCCAAUUAGCUUGGUGUGUGAGUACCGGCCCCACAAGGCGACGAUUUGUACCCGGACUGAGAGGUUGAACGGCCACAUUGGGAUUGAACACGGCCCAGACUUCUACGGGAGGCAGCAGUGGGGGAUAUUGCACAAUGGGGGAAACCCUGAUGCAGCGACGCCGCGUGGAGGAAGAAGGUUUUCGGAUUGUAAACUCCUGUCGUUAGGGACGAUAAUGACGGUACCUAACAAGAAAGCACCGGCUAACUACGUGCCAGCAGCCGCGGUAAAACGUAGGGUGCAAGCGUUGUCCGGAAUUACUGGGUGUAAAGGGAGCGCAGGCGGACCGGCAAGUUGGAAGUGAAAACUAUGGGCUCAACCCAUAAAUUGCUUUCAAAACUGCUGGCCUUGAGUAGUGCAGAGGUAGGUGGAAUUCCCGGUGUAGCGGUGGAAUGCGUAGAUAUCGGGAGGAACACCAGUGGCGAAGGCGACCUACUGGGCACCAACUGACGCUGAGGCUCGAAAGCAUGGGUAGCAAACAGGAUUAGAUACCCUGGUAGUCCAUGCCGUAAACGAUGAUUACUAGGUGUUGGAGGAUUGACCCCUUCAGUGCCGCAGUUAACACAAUAAGUAAUCCACCUGGGGAGUACGACCGCAAGGUUGAAACUCAAAGGAAUUGACGGGGGCCCGCACAAGCAGUGGAGUAUGUGGUUUAAUUCGAAGCAACGCGAAGAACCUUACCAGGUCUUGACAUCCGAUGCAUAGUGCAGAGAUGCAUGAAGUCCUUCGGGACAUCGAGACAGGUGGUGCAUGGUUGUCGUCAGCUCGUGUCGUGAGAUGUUGGGUUAAGUCCCGCAACGAGCGCAACCCUUAUUGCCAGUUACUACGAAAGAGGACUCUGGCGAGACUGCCGUUGACAAAACGGAGGAAGGUGGGGAUGACGUCAAAUCAUCAUGCCCUUUAUGACCUGGGCUACACACGUACUACAAUGGCGUUUAACAAAGAGAAGCAAGACCGCGAGGUGGAGCAAAACUCAAAAACAACGUCUCAGUUCAGAUUGCAGGCUGCAACUCGCCUGCAUGAAGUCGGAAUUGCUAGUAAUCGCGGAUCAGCAUGCCGCGGUGAAUACGUUCCCGGGCCUUGUACACACCGCCCGUC
RNAcentral lists this ribosomal RNA (1357 nucleotides) under uncultured bacterium. RNAcentral describes it as "bacterial SSU rRNA". It matches the Rfam family "Bacterial small subunit ribosomal RNA". The record is from RNAcentral.